This 519-nucleotide ribosomal RNA is filed under the name uncultured Hanseniaspora. RNAcentral describes it as "eukaryotic LSU rRNA". It matches the Rfam family "Eukaryotic large subunit ribosomal RNA", at positions 62 to 586 of the family's 3401-position model. Lineage: Eukaryota; Fungi; Ascomycota; Saccharomycetes; Saccharomycodales; Saccharomycodaceae. The record is from RNAcentral.
AAACCAACCGGGAUUGCCUCAGUAACGGCGAGUGAAGCGGCAAAAGCUCAAAUUUGAAAUCUGGCACUUUCAGUGUCCGAGUUGUAAUUUGUAGAAGUAGUUUUGGGACUGGUCCUUAUCUAUGUUUCUUGGAACAGGACGUCAUAGAGGGUGAGAACCCCGUAUGAUGAGGCCCCCAGUCCUUUGUAAAACGCUUUCGAAGAGUCGAGUUGUUUGGGAAUGCAGCUCUAAGUGGGUGGUAAAUUCCAUCUAAAGCUAAAUAUUGGCGAGAGACCGAUAGCGAACAAGUACAGUGAUGGAAAGAUGAAAAGAACUUUGAAAAGAGAGUGAAAAAGUACGUGAAAUUGUUGAAAGGGAAGGGCAUUUGAUCAGACAUGGUGUUUUGCGCCCUUUGCUCCUUGUGGGCGGAGGAUACGCAGCUCACUGGGGCCAACAUCAGUUUUGGGAGCAGGAUAAAUCUGUAGGAACGUAGCUUUCUUCGGGAAGUGUUAUAGCCUACGGGAAUACUGCUACCUGGGA